UGCAAGGGUUUCCUCGGGCCGGACGGAAAUUGGCCCUCAAGUGAAAAGCAAAAGGGAGCUUAACUGCAAGACCUACCCGUCGAGCAGAUACGUCGUAAU
RNAcentral lists this ribosomal RNA (99 nucleotides) under Olea europaea subsp. europaea. RNAcentral describes it as "PK-G12rRNA". The record is from RNAcentral. Lineage: Eukaryota; Viridiplantae; Streptophyta; Magnoliopsida; Lamiales; Oleaceae.